RNAcentral lists this ribosomal RNA (460 nucleotides) under uncultured bacterium. RNAcentral's name for it is "partial 16S ribosomal RNA". It matches the Rfam family "Bacterial small subunit ribosomal RNA", at positions 338 to 795 of the family's 1533-position model. The record is from RNAcentral.
CCUACGGGUGGCAGCAGUGAGGAAUAUUGGUCAAUGGCCGCAAGGCUGAACCAGCCAAGUCGCGUGAAGGACGAAGGUCCUAAGGAUUGUAAACCUCUUUUGUCGGGGAGCAAAAGACGCCUCGCGUGCCUUUCCGAGGGUACCUGAAGAAAAAGCAUCGGCUAACUCCGUGCCAGCAGCCGCGGUAAUACGGAGGAUGCGAGCGUUAUCCGGAUUUAUUGGGUUUAAAGGGUGCGUAGGCGGUUGGAUAAGGUAGAGGUCAAAUGUCGGGGCUUAACCCCGGGCCUGCCUUUGAUACUGUCUGACUAGAGAGCGGAUGCAGUAGGCGGAAUGAGCAGUGUAGCGGUGAAAUGCUUAGAUAUUGCGCAGAACUCCGAUUGCGAAGGCAGCUUGCCAAUGCGCAUCUGACGCUGAGGCACGAAAGCGUGGGUAGCGAACAGGAUUAGAUACCCUAGUAGUC